AAAUAGUCUCUAUUUCUAUUUUCUUCUUGCCUGCAAUUCUAUCUUGGUGUCAGAGCCAAAAAUGUCUAGCACUACUUCCUCUCCGACAACCCUAACUGCAAAUCCCCAAAAUAUUAACCCAACUCCAACCUCCAGUCCGAACAUUACCCAAACCAAUUACCCAUCUCUUUCUUAGCCUCUAACUAUCAAACUUGAUGAAACGAAUCUGCUACUCUGGAAAAAUCAGCUUCUGAAUGUGAUCAUAGACAAUGGGUUAGAAGAUUUCAUUGAGGAAGAAACACCUAUACCAACCAAAUUCUUGGAUGAUGCCCAACUGCAGAUCAACCCACUCUUCAUACAAUGGGAACGAACAAAUAGACUUGUCAUGAGCUGGAUCUAUUCUUCCUUAACAAAGUAUGGUAGGAAGAAUCAUAGAAUACAAGACUACUCGGGAAAUAUGGGGAGCUCUAAACAAAGUUUAUCAAUCUCCUUCGAUUGCUACUAUGCUAGGACUGAACUCUCAGCUUCAGAGGAUUAAAAAGGAAGGAUCAAACUUUGAGGAGGGUACUUCUUCAGGGAAUACUUGAAGAUGGACUCUAAAAAGUUUCAUCAUCAGCCAGUACUUCGCCAUCCCUUGUUGUCUCCUCUUCAUCAGCUUCACCUUCAGUUCCUGCUACUCAACUAUCCUUCAAUCGUGCUCAAGCCUUCAUCACUCAGCAUAAUAAUACCGUAUUGUGGCACAAUAGACUAGGACACCCUGCUUCUAAUGUAAUUACUCAAGUUAUGAGGAGCUGUAAUUUGAAAUUUUCUAAAUCUUUUUAUUUUUGUUCCUCUUGUCAAUUGACUAAGAGCCAUAGAUUACCCUUUAUACUUUCAGAAUCUAAAGCAAUGAAACCUAUUUAUUCUAUUCACUAUGAUCUUUGGGGUCCUUCCCCUAUCUUAUUUGUCACUGGUGCUCGUUACUUCCUUCUUUUUAUUGAUGAUUACUCUCGCUAUACUUGGUUUUAUUUGUUAAAAAGCAAAGAUGUAGUUUUCUCCUACUUUCUAAAAUUCAAAAAUCUCAUUGAAAAAAAAAUUAACACAACUAUUAAGGCCUUGCAAACUGAUUGGAGUGGUGAAUUUGGCCGCUUGAGUCUUUUCUUGAAAAUCUUGGUAUUCAUCAUCGCCAUUCUUGUCAUUAUACUCCCCAACAAAAUGGGCGAGUUGAGUGCAAAAAUUGUCAUGUUGUUGAAGUUGGCUUGCCCAUGUUAGCCCAUUCUUCUAUUCCUAUUUCCUAUUGGCCAUAUGCAUUCCAAUAUGUUGUGUACUUAAUCAAUAGAUUACCUAUAGUUGUCUUGAAUAACAAAACUCUCUUUGACUUGCUUUAUGAUAAAUCUCCUUCUUAUUCUUCAUUUCGAGUGUUCGGUUGCUCCUAUUUCCCAUUUUUAAGACCUUUGAAUCAGCAUAAACGUCAAUUUUGCUCCACUGAAUGUGUCAUUCUUAGGUUUAGUCCUCACCAUAAAGGUUAUUUGUGCUUAAAUAGACAAACAGGUCAGAUUUAUGUUUCCUAUCAUGUUGUUUUCAAUGAGUUCUCUUUUCCUUUCACUUGUUCUUCUUCCUAUCCUCCUCCUUCAUCUAUGUUUACUCAUAAUCUCCUCAUUUCUCUUUCAUUUCCUUCCUCAACCACUCCACAUCACAUUUCUAUCUUACAUUCUUCUUCUUCUUCUUCUUCUUCUUAUCCUUCCCUUCAUUGAUCUACAUUCCCAAUGUCUUCUUCUUCUCCUUCUUCUCCUCCCACAUUUCUCUCUCCUCAUUUCUCACAGGACACUCAUCCCACUACUUCAGUAUGUCCAAUUCCAUUUGCUAUACCUACUGACUUACCAGAAUCUGUUCUCCAUUACCCUCCACCUCCCACCAACACUCAUUCCAUGGUGACUAGAUCCAAGGCUGGGAUUUAUAAACCAAAAACUCUUGUGGCAACAUUUGAUUUCCCUGCUAAUAUUGCUCUUUUUUAGCCUACCUCUUUUCACCAAGCAAUCAAAUAUGCUCACUUGUAAAAAGCUAUGACUACAAAAUAUGAGGCUCUUAUUAUAAAUGAUACUUGGACAUUGAUGCCUCUACCACCUGAUCACAAAGUAGUUGGUGGCAAGUGGGUCUUUAAGGUCAAGCUCAAACCGAUGGCUCCCUUGAAAGAUAUAAAGUUCGGUUAGUUGCUAAAGGUUUUCAACAAACACUUGGUUUGGACGAUUUUGAAACCUUUAGCCCAGUUGUUAAGCCCACUACUAUCCGUAUUGUUUUAAGUUUCGCUCUUUCUCUUCAAUGGCCUAUCAAACAGUUGGAUGUCCAUAAUGCAUUCUUAAAUGGUGACCUAUAAUAAACUAUUUUCAUGGAGCAACCCCCUGGUUUUAUCAGUGCUACCAAUCCAGGCUAUGUUUGCAAGUUGAACAAGGGCUUUAUACGACCUUAAGCAAAGUCCUCAUAGGUGGUAUACAAAGCUCAGUACUUAUCUACUGCAGUGUGGUUUCCAAGGCUCCAAAUCUGAUACUUCAGUGUUCUUCUCCAACAAAGGCUCCUCCAUUAUUAUUUUGUUGAUUUAAGUGGAUGAUAUUAUUAUCACAAGUAGUCACUCUGUCUUGGUGAACUCCUUGAUUGACCAACUACAUAAUCAAUUUGCUCUCAAGGGUUUAGGGUAUCUUUCUUAUUUUUUGGGCAUUCAAGUUACUUGUACUCUAUCAACCCUGCAUUUAUGCCAACACAAGUACAUUGUUGAUCUCCUUCAUCGGGCUCAAAUGUUUGACUGUAUGCAUGCUUCUACUCCUAUGAGCACCUCAUCUUCCUUGUCCUUGUAUGAUGGUGAGCCUCUUUCGGAUCCAUCUUUGUAUCGCAGCAUUGUGGAGGCUCUACAGUAUUAUACCAUCACCCGACCUGACAUCAGUUUUUCUAUCAACAAGGUCUGCCAAUUCAUGCAUUCUUCGACCACAACUCAUUGGCAAGUUGUUAAGAGGAUUCUUUGUUAUCUCAAGAGUACAAUUUCUCAUGGCAUUUCUCUUUAACCAUCUACUGAUCUUUUUCUCACUUGUUAUACUGAUGUUAAUUGGGUUGGUUGUCCGGAUGAUCAGAAAAGUACAAGUGGUCAUUGUUGUUUCCUUAGCCCUAAUUUGAUUUCCUGGUCUUGUACUAAAUAAAAAGUUGUUUCUCGUUCAAGUGUUGAGUCUGAAUACAGAGGCCUUGCUAAUGCCGCUUUAGAACUUAUUUGGAUUGAAACAUUUCUCACUGAACUACACAUUCCGUUUUUCACUCCCCCAGUCCUCUUUUGUGACAAUCUCAGUGCCACCCAUCUUGUUGCUCAUCCCAUUUUGCAUGCUCGUACGAAGCACAUUGAAAUCGAUUAUCAUUUCAUUCGUGAUCGUGUGCUCCAUAAAUCCCUAUUGGUCAAAUUUACACCUUCUGAAUAGCAACUUGCAGAUAUCCUGACCAAGCUCCUGCCUGCACCUCGCUUUCAAAGUCUACGAGACAAGCUAACUGUGCUUCACAACCCUCUUUGCUUGCAGAGGGAUGUUAAACAAUGUAAUUAGUUAUGCUCAACUAUAGGAAAUGAUACUUUGUAUCAGGCCCUGCCAUGUGUAUGGUUUGUUUUACCUUUCCUACACUAUAUAAAUUUGUCUCAGGCUCACUUGAUGCUUGGGC
Long non-coding RNA from Vitis vinifera (wine grape), 3645 nucleotides. RefSeq lists it as uncharacterized. The transcript has 2 exons. Lineage: Eukaryota; Viridiplantae; Streptophyta; Magnoliopsida; Vitales; Vitaceae. The record is from RefSeq and is a predicted model, not a curated record.